RNAcentral lists this ribosomal RNA (468 nucleotides) under uncultured bacterium. RNAcentral's name for it is "partial 16S ribosomal RNA". It matches the Rfam family "Bacterial small subunit ribosomal RNA", at positions 28 to 507 of the family's 1533-position model. The record is from RNAcentral.
GACGAACGCUGGCGGCGUGCUUAACACAUGCAAGUCGAACGGAAAGGCCCUGCUUUUGUGGGGUGCUCGAGUGGCGAACGGGUGAGUAACACGUGAGUAACCUGCCCUUGACUUUGGGAUAACUUCAGGAAACUGGGGCUAAUACCGGAUAGGCGCUCCUGCUGCAUGGUGGGGGUUGGAAAGUUUCGGCGGUUGGGGAUGGACUCGCGGCUUAUCAGCUUGUUGGUGGGGUAGUGGCUUACCAAGGCUUUGACGGGUAGCCGGCCUGAGAGGGUGACCGGCCACAUUGGGACUGAGUAACGGCCCAGACCCCUACGGGAGGCAGCAGGGGGGAAUAUUGCACAAGGGGCGGAAGCCUGAUGCAGCAACGCCGCGUGCGGGAUGACGGCCUUCGGGUUGUAAACCGCUUUCGCCUGUGACGAAGCGUGAGUGACGGUAAUGGGUAAAGAAGCACCGGCUAACUACGUG